UUGGAGGUUAAGAAAGUGAGACCAGUUAAGAUUAUGUGGUUCUUACUGAUACCCACCUCCUAGAAUAAAGCAGCUGAGAGAGCAACUUCUACCAGUAGAAGGCUGGGGUUACAUCUCAGCCAAUAAGA
This 128-nucleotide small nucleolar RNA is filed under the name Monopterus albus (swamp eel). RNAcentral's name for it is "Small Cajal body specific RNA 15 (ENSMALG00000011317.1)". Lineage: Eukaryota; Metazoa; Chordata; Actinopteri; Synbranchiformes; Synbranchidae. The record is from RNAcentral.